GAUGAACGCUGGCGGCGUGCUUAACACAUGCAAGUCGAGCGAAGCAGUUAAGAAGAUUCUUCGGAUGAUUCUUAACUGACUGAGCGGCGGACGGGUGAGUAACGCGUGGGUGACCUGCCCCAUACCGGGGGAUAACAGCUGGAAACGGCUGCUAAUACCGCAUAAGCGCACAGAGCUGCAUGGCUCGGUGUGAAAAACUCCGGUGGUAUGGGAUGGGCCCGCGUCUGAUUAGGCAGUUGGCGGGGUAACGGCCCACCAAACCGACGAUCAGUAGCCGGCCUGAGAGGGCGACCGGCCACAUUGGGACUGAGACACGGCCCAAACUCCUACGGGAGGCAGCAGUGGGGAAUAUUGCACAAUGGGGGAAACCCUGAUGCAGCGACGCCGCGUGAGCGAAGAAGUAUUUCGGUAUGUAAAGCUCUAUCAGCAGGGAAGAUAAUGACGGUACCUGACUAAGAAG
This 460-nucleotide ribosomal RNA is filed under the name uncultured bacterium. RNAcentral describes it as "bacterial SSU rRNA". It matches the Rfam family "Bacterial small subunit ribosomal RNA", at positions 28 to 490 of the family's 1533-position model. The record is from RNAcentral.